CCUCGUAGCACCUGCGCAAGCAGGCGCUGCGGGGACUUCUUUCAGUCUGCAACGAGGGUCUGCUCGUG
Molecule: non-coding RNA, 68 nt
Organism: Serratia marcescens FGI94
Lineage: Bacteria; Pseudomonadati; Pseudomonadota; Gammaproteobacteria; Enterobacterales; Yersiniaceae
Source: Rfam